GAUGAACGCUGGCGGCGUGCCUAAUACAUGCAAGUAGAACGCUGAAGCUUGGUGCUUGCACCGAGCGGAUGAGUUGCGAACGGGUGAGUAACGCGUAGGUAACCUGCCUCUUAGCGGGGGAUAACUAUUGGAAACGAUAGCUAAUACCGCAUAAAAGUCGAUAUCGCAUGAUAUUGAUUUGAAAGGUGCAAAUGCAUCACUAAGAGAUGGACCUGCGUUGUAUUAGCUAGUUGGUGAGGUAACGGCUCACCAAGGCGACGAUACAUAGCCGACCUGAGAGGGUGAUCGGCCACACUGGGACUGAGACACGGCCCAGACUCCUACGGGAGGCAGCAGUAGGGAAUCUUCGGUAAUGGGGGCAACCCUGACCGAGCAACGCCGCGUGAGUGAAGAAGGUUUUCGGAUCGUAAAGCUCUGUUGUAAGAGAAGAACGAGUGUGAGAGUGGAAAGUUCACACUGUGACGGUAACUUACCAGAAAGGGACGGCUAACUACGUG
This 497-nucleotide ribosomal RNA is filed under the name uncultured bacterium. RNAcentral's name for it is "partial 16S ribosomal RNA". It matches the Rfam family "Bacterial small subunit ribosomal RNA", at positions 28 to 507 of the family's 1533-position model. The record is from RNAcentral.